AACGAACGCUGGCGGCAGGCCUAACACAUGCAAGUCGAGCGGACCUUUCGGGGUCAGCGGCGGACGGGUGAGUAACGCGUGGGAAUAUGCCCUUCUCUACGGAAUAGUCCUGGGAAACUGGGGGUAAUACCGUAUACGCCCUUUGGGGGAAAGAUUUAUCGGGGAAGGAUUAGCCCGCGUUGGAUUAGGUAGUUGGUGGGGUAAUAGCCUACCAAGCCGACGAUCCAUAGCUGGUUUGAGAGGAUGAUCAGCCACACUGGGACUGAGACACGGCCCAGACUCCUACGGGAGGCAGCAGUGGGGAAUCUUAGACAAUGGGGGCAACCCUGAUCUAGCCAUGCCGCGUGAGUGAUGAAGGCCUUAGGGUUGUAAAGCUCUUUCAGCUGGGAAGAUAAUGACGGUACCAGCAGAAGAAGCCCCGGCUAACUCCGUG
RNAcentral lists this ribosomal RNA (433 nucleotides) under uncultured bacterium. RNAcentral's name for it is "partial 16S ribosomal RNA". It matches the Rfam family "Bacterial small subunit ribosomal RNA", at positions 29 to 507 of the family's 1533-position model. The record is from RNAcentral.